RNAcentral lists this ribosomal RNA (277 nucleotides) under uncultured eukaryote. Its description in RNAcentral is "partial 18S ribosomal RNA". It matches the Rfam family "Eukaryotic small subunit ribosomal RNA", at positions 21 to 271 of the family's 1831-position model. The record is from RNAcentral.
UAGUCAUAUGCUUGUCUCAAAGAUUAAGCCAUGCAUGUCUAAGUAUAAACGCCUUUAUACUGUGAAACUGCGAAUGGCUCAUUAAAUCAGUUAUAGUUUAUUUGAUAGUACCUCUUUACUACAUGGAUAACCGUGGUAAUUCUAGAGCUAAUACAUGCGAAAAAUCCCGACUUUUGUGGAAGGGAUGUAUUUAUUAGAUAAAAAACCAACUUUCUCCUCCUGAAAGGGAGGGGAAAACCCCCUUUUGCUUGGUGAUUCAUAAUAACUUGUCGAAUCG